Molecule: ribosomal RNA, 497 nt
Filed under: uncultured bacterium
Lineage: Bacteria
Description: partial 16S ribosomal RNA
Rfam family: Bacterial small subunit ribosomal RNA
Source: RNAcentral
GAUGAACGCUGGCGGCGUACCUAAUACAUGCAAGUCGAGCGAACAGAUAAGGAGCUUGCUCCUUUGACGUUAGCGGCGGACGGGUGAGUAACACGUGGGUAACCUACCUAUAAGACUGGGAUAACUUCGGGAAACCGGAGCUAAUACCGGAUAACAUUUGGAACCGCAUGGUUCUAAAGUGAAAGAUGGUUUUGCUAUCACUUAUAGAUGGACCCGCGCCGUAUUAGCUAGUUGGUAAGGUAACGGCUUACCAAGGCGACGAUACGUAGCCGACCUGAGAGGGUGAUCGGCCACACUGGAACUGAGACACGGUCCAGACUCCUACGGGAGGCAGCAGUAGGGAAUCUUCCGCAAUGGGCGAAAGCCUGACGGAGCAACGCCGCGUGAGUGAUGAAGGGUUUCGGCUCGUAAAACUCUGUUAUUAGGGAAGAACAAAUGUGUAAGUAACUGUGCACGUCUUGACGGUACCUAAUCAGAAAGCCACGGCUAACUACGUG